AGCGAACGCUAGCGGCAGGCCUAACACAUGCAAGUCGAACGGACCCUUCGGGGUUAGUGGCGGACGGGUGAGUAACACGUGGGAACGUGCCUUUAGGUUCGGAAUAGCUCCUGGAAACGGGUGGUAAUGCCGAAUGUGCCCUUCGGGGGAAAGAUUUAUCGCCUUUAGAGCGGCCCGCGUCUGAUUAGCUAGUUGGUGAGGUAACGGCUCACCAAGGCGACGAUCAGUAGCUGGUCUGAGAGGAUGACCAGCCACACUGGGACUGAGACACGGCCCAGACUCCUACGGGAGGCAGCAGUGGGGAAUCUUGCGCAAUGGGCGAAAGCCUGACGCAGCCAUGCCGCGUGAAUGAUGAAGGUCUUAGGAUUGUAAAAUUCUUUCACCGGGGACGAUAAUGACGGUACCCGGAGAAGAAGCCCCGGCUAACUUCGUG
RNAcentral lists this ribosomal RNA (433 nucleotides) under uncultured bacterium. RNAcentral's name for it is "partial 16S ribosomal RNA". It matches the Rfam family "Bacterial small subunit ribosomal RNA", at positions 29 to 507 of the family's 1533-position model. The record is from RNAcentral.